UUGUGUGGUGAGGGUCAAGAUUCACUUCUGUUUGUCCAUAUAUUUUGUGAUUGACAGCCACCAACACUGGUUUUGCCUAUUAAAUUGACUAUAAAUAAUUUGAAUUGAUCCUGGACCACCAAUCUGAGGCACCACUGCAAGUUUCCUGAGGCACCCCAGCGUGCAACGGCACACCAUAGAACCUCUGCAUUAUGGUAUUCAGUGAUGUGAAAGAUCAGCGGUCACCAUGGCGACAGUCCCGACAACUCCGCUGGAUGGCCCAGAAGACCCUACUUCCUGUUGGAUAGGCGGAAGUGAUGGAUCCGGAAACUGAGUGGCGGCGUGUUGGAACCGCCUGGAGGCGCGCUGAAUAAGUCCCAUUGUGGAGGUUGAUAGCGCUGUCUGGAAGUAUCCUGGAAUGAAAACAACUGUUGCCGGGUAAUUGUGAAAUGCAGGCUGCAGAAGUGAAU
Long non-coding RNA from Pseudophryne corroboree (corroboree frog), 449 nucleotides. RefSeq lists it as uncharacterized. The transcript has 3 exons. NCBI's taxonomy places the organism in Eukaryota, Metazoa, Chordata, Amphibia, Anura, Myobatrachidae. The record is from RefSeq and is a predicted model, not a curated record.